Molecule: ribosomal RNA, 441 nt
Filed under: uncultured soil bacterium
Lineage: Bacteria
Description: bacterial SSU rRNA
Rfam family: Bacterial small subunit ribosomal RNA
Source: RNAcentral
AGGACGAACGCUGGCGGCGUGCUUAACACAUGCAAGUCGAGCGGUAAGGCCUUUCGGGGUACACGAGCGGCGAACGGGUGAGUAACACGUGGGUGAUCUGCCCUGCACUUCGGGAUAAGCCUGGGAAACGUGGGUCUAAUACCGGAUAUGACCUCAGGUUGCAUGACGUUGGGGUGGAAAGUAUUUAUCGGUGCAGGAUCGGGCCCGCGGCCUAUCAGUCUUGGUUGGGUGGGUAAUGGCCUAACCGAAGGCGACGGACGGGUACGCCGACCGUGAGGAGGGUCGACCGGCCACGACGUGGGACUGGAGACGACGGCCCAGACCUCCGUACGGGAGGCGAGCGAGGUGGGAAUAUUGCACGAAGUGGGACGAAAGCCUGAUGCAGGCGACGCCGCGUAGGAGGAUGGACCGGUCCGUUACGGGUUCGUUAAACCGUUCUUU